This 497-nucleotide ribosomal RNA is filed under the name uncultured bacterium. RNAcentral describes it as "partial 16S ribosomal RNA". It matches the Rfam family "Bacterial small subunit ribosomal RNA", at positions 28 to 507 of the family's 1533-position model. The record is from RNAcentral.
GAUGAACGCUGGCGGCGUGCCUAAUACAUGCAAGUCGAGCGAACGGACGAGAAGCUUGCUUCUCUGAUGUUAGCGGCGGACGGGUGAGUAACACGUGGAUAACCUACCUAUAAGACUGGGAUAACUUCGGGAAACCGGAGCUAAUACCGGAUAAUAUUUUGAACCGCAUGGUUCAAAAGUGAAAGACGGUCUUGCUGUCACUUAUAGAUGGAUCCGCGCUGCAUUAGCUAGUUGGUAAGGUAACGGCUUACCAAGGCAACGAUGCAUAGCCGACCUGAGAGGGUGAUCGGCCACACUGGAACUGAGACACGGUCCAGACUCCUACGGGAGGCAGCAGUAGGGAAUCUUCCGCAAUGGGCGAAAGCCUGACGGAGCAACGCCGCGUGAGUGAUGAAGGUCUUCGGAUCGUAAAACCCUGUUAUUAGGGAAGAACAGAUGUGCAAGUAACUGUGCACAUCUUGACGGUACCUAAUCAGAAAGCCACGGCUAACUACGUG